Zonotrichia leucophrys gambelii is the source of this 1454-nucleotide long non-coding RNA. RefSeq lists it as uncharacterized. The transcript is spliced from 4 exons. The record is from RefSeq and is a predicted model, not a curated record. NCBI's taxonomy places the organism in Eukaryota, Metazoa, Chordata, Aves, Passeriformes, Passerellidae.
CUGGAAACAGCUUCUGAAGCAAAGAGAGCCACUCCUACCAUAAAUACAUACUUCCAAGGGGAGCUAGAGGAGGCUGAAAGACCCACCCCAGCAGUGAUAGUGAACAAGGAAGUGAGCCCAGGGGUGGGAGCAUUUACAAGAAAUGAAGAAUGGGGCUGAGGAAGGAACCAGGAGUCUUGCUUCAGAGUGUCCUGCUAGACAGCUACUUUUCCAAUCAGGAAGGGAACUGGGUGAACAUAUGGUACAGCUCCAGAAGGAGGAAGAUGGGGAAGAAACAGAGGGGCUGGAGUGAAAACAGCAUUACCUGCUUCAGAUGUUGCUGAUGAUGAAGAUCUCAACCUGCACAUGAGGCUCAGAUAAAAUGCACCAGAUUUUGGCAACUAAAUUAUACAAUGAUUCAAAAAACCACAAAGCAGCUGAGGUUGAAAACUUCUCUUGAGACCACCUUGCCCACGUCACCCUGCUCAAACAGGGUCAUCCAGAGAAGGCUGCCCUGGACCACAUCUGGCCAAAUGAGAAUAUCUUCAAGGAGGGAGAGUCCACAACCUCUCCCUACAAACUGUUCAUCCCCUCAAUAAAUCCACACUGUUCAGGAACUACUUGUGUAAAUGUUUCAGCUUGUGCCCAAUUACUCUUCUCCUGUCACUGGGCAGCAUUGAGAAUAAUCUUGCUCCAUCCUCUCUAAUCUUUCCCAUCAAAUAUUUGCAUAUGUGGAAAAAUCUCCCUGAGCCUUCUCUUCUCCAGGCAGAACAUCCCAUCCUUCUGAAUCUUUCCUUAUAAGAGAGAUAAUAUCCCAGAUUCUUCAUAAUCUCUGUGGUCUCUGACUGGACUCUCUCCCACAUGUCCAUAUUCCUCUGGCAUAUCAGCCACUGCUCUGAGUUCUGAAAUUCUCCAGAUUUGUGGAGGGUGUUCUCUACCCUGCCACCCUGCUCAUUAAUUGACAUAUUAAAAGUUUUUAGUCCCCAUAUCAUGGAGUGCAUCUCUACUGUCUGGUCUCUAAGUGGAUUUUGUGCUACCCAUCACAGCCCUAUGAGACCAGCCAGUUUUCAGUCCAUCACAGAGCGCAUUUAUUCUGCCUAUGUUUCAUCAUUUUGUCUGUAAGAAGCUGAUGGAACUCAGCGGCAGAACUCUUGCUAAAGUCAAGAUAAAACCCACCCAAUUGGUGAGGCAUGAUUUCCACUUCACAGAUCUGUGAUAACUACUCCUGGUCAUCUUUUCCUCCUUCAUAUGUUUGGAAAUGCUCUUCACAAUUGUUUACUCCAUCAAAUUCUAGAGACUGAGAUGAGACUGAACAGCCUUGCUGCUUCCUUGCUUUUGCUUCUUGACCUCAUUGGACUGAUAUUUCUUCUUUUCUAGUCCUCAGAAACAUCUCCUGAUCACCACAAUCUUUCAAAAACAACCUAGAGUAGUCUCACAGUGAUGCCAGCCAGAUCCCUCAGCACCUUUGGGUACAU